CGGACGGUAACCAUGGCUGUCUACCACCACACUGUUCAACAUCUACCACAUCGCCGACCGACAAUAAACGUUAACUGUAAGUGUCAGCGUCUGGUUAUAGUUUAAUGUAUUAUAAUCAAAGCACGACAGAUUACCUGAUGUUUUAUUGUUUGAUUAGACUCUGAGCAUGGAGAAUCGGAUGAGCCAGGACUGUAAACUUCCGCCUGCGCGCAGGAUGGGAAAGGGCGUGAUGUUCACGGGCGUCAUGUAAGCGCAGCCGUCGGCCAUCACACCGACCGAUUCGCACCCCUCCUCCCAGUUUAUCAAUAAAAGACCAGCGAUUUCAGUGUUGCAGCCCAGACAAGCUCACAACAGGGUCCAGAGAUGGCAUCAGUGAAGCUGGAAGACUGCAGUCAAACACUGGAACUCAAUGUGAUUGUCAAAGAGGAGGAGGAGGAGAGAGAAAUUGAGGAGGAGGAGGAAGGCGGGGAGGAGGAGGAGGAAGAAGAGGAUGAGGAAGAUAAUGACAUUGACUCUGACAUGGAAGAAGAGGAGGACCAGGGAGAAAGAGGUGCGGCUAACCCAGGGCUUGUUAUUCUUAAAAGAGAGGAGGAGAGGGACAGAGAGAAGAAGGAUGAAGCAGAGGAGGAAGGUGUGGAUAGGACCAAGCCAGGUAAUCACUGAUCAGAACAUGCAUCCAGAGGAGGAGGUGGGGGAUGGAGAGGAGGAGGAAGGUGUGGAUAGGACCAAGCCAGGUAAUCACUGAUCAGAACAUGCAUCCAGAGGAGGAGGUGGGGGAUGGAGAGGAGGAGGAAGGUGUGGAUAGGACCAAGCCAGGUAAUCACUGAUCAGAACAUGCAUCCAGAGGAGGAGGUGGGGGAUGGAGAGGAGGAGGAAGGUGUGGAUAGGACCAAGCCAGGUAAUCACUGAUCAGAACAUGCAUCCAGAGGAGGAGGUGGGGGAUGGAGAGGAGGAGGAAGGUGUGGAUAGGACCAAGCCAGGUAAUCACUGAUCAGAACAUGCAUCCAGAGGAGGAGGUGGGGGAUGGAGAGGAGGAGGAAGGUAUAGAUGGGACCAAGCCAGGUA
This 1065-nucleotide long non-coding RNA is filed under the name Salmo trutta (river trout). RNAcentral's name for it is "lncRNA (ENSSTUG00000020958.1)". Lineage: Eukaryota; Metazoa; Chordata; Actinopteri; Salmoniformes; Salmonidae. The record is from RNAcentral.